Molecule: ribosomal RNA, 449 nt
Filed under: uncultured bacterium
Lineage: Bacteria
Description: partial 16S ribosomal RNA
Rfam family: Bacterial small subunit ribosomal RNA
Source: RNAcentral
AACGAACGCUGGCGGCACGCCUAACACAUGCAAGUCGAACGAGAUCUUCGGGUCUAGUGGCGCACGGGUGCGUAACGCGUGGGAAUCUGCCCUUUGGCUCGGAAUAACAGUUGGAAACGACUGCUAAUACCGGAUGAUGACGAAAGUCCAAAGAUUUAUCGCCAGAGGAUGAGCCCGCGUAGGAUUAGCUAGUUGGUGUGGUAAAGGCGCACCAAGGCGACGAUCCUUAGCUGGUCUGAGAGGAUGAUCAGCCACACUGGGACUGAGACACGGCCCAGACUCCUACGGGAGGCAGCAGUGGGGAAUAUUGGACAAUGGGCGAAAGCCUGAUCCAGCAAUGCCGCGUGAGUGAUGAAGGCCUUAGGGUUGUAAAGCUCUUUUACCCGGGAUGAUAAUGACAGUACCGGGAGAAUAAGCUCCGGCUAACUCCGUGCCAGCCGCCGCGGUAA